Molecule: RNA transcript, 1982 nt
Organism: Alligator mississippiensis (American alligator)
Lineage: Eukaryota; Metazoa; Chordata; Crocodylia; Alligatoridae
Gene name: nuclear GTPase SLIP-GC
Exons: 7
Source: RefSeq, a predicted model, not a curated record
UGGUGAUAUGUUGGAAUCGCAGGAAAUUCAUCCCCUUUGUAUCUCUUUAGGGAAUAUGAAUUUCAUUAGUGCUAUGACACUUAGUGCUGCUGCGCUCCUCCUGCUAUACCUGUGGCACCUUCACGUGUGAUGUCUUGUGUUGUGUCAGGUUAACGGUCAUUUUACAAAGUUUAGAUGAUGGAUAUGUCUGGGCUGGUUUGCACAGGGCUGAUCCUGCCUCAGGCAGGGCUUGGAAUUGAUAUGACCUGGAGGACCCUUCCAGCCCCACUUCUCUAUGUUUUAUACAAUUAUUGCUCUAAAGCAGAACUGUUCACCUGGGCUGCUCUGACUUUAGAUGCCUUUUCUUCCCUCAGCUUUUUCUUCCUGCUCCCACCCCAGAGGGCAGGGCAACGAAGCCCUGGGACCCAUGGGAGCCGGCAACUUAGUUCAAUGAGGAAGCUGAAGUGCAGGCUGCCUGCAUGACUCAUCCCACCACUGCUGAUCUGCUUCUGUUUCGCAGCCUCUGUUUUUACCCUCCAAACAACAAAGCUGAGAACAGGAUGCAACGGGGGCAGCUAGAUGAGCAGCAGAAGGGAGGAGCACACAAAAACUAGCAGCACGGUUUGGCACUGGGCCAUUAGCGGGGAUGGCUGAGGAUGCACGACUGAGUCCACUAAUUCCUGUUGCAGUGCACAGUACAGGAACUGCUGUGGGACUAUGCAAUGACAAUAGGAUUUUUCUGAAACUGGUUCAAAUAGUCCACUUCAUCAGUGCUCACUGUGUGUGUGUUUGUCCUCUAGAAAGAGCUGCCAAGUGACUCGGAGAUUCUGGAUAAGGAAGAUCUAGUUUACACAGUCAGUGCCCGAGAAUACCAGCAAGAGGAGAAGCUCACUAAGGAAGAGACAGAACUGGAAACUUCAGCAGAACAGCCUGGAAACCUUUGUAAUGAAAGCGAUCAAUGAACUGGAGAAGGAGGUGGAGAACUGUUUUGCUCAGAUAGAACAACCUCUUAAGGAUGGCAUAGAGGUGGCAAAAGCAUCACACCAGAACAUUAUCAAUGGGAUCCUAAAUCGAACCGGGGGGAAACGAGGUUAUCACCGGACCCUGAAAGCCUUGUGCCUGAAGAAUGGCAUGUAUGCAUCCCAGACCUUCGCUCGCUUAGACAUAAAUGAUGCUCUUGCUCAACCCAUCUAUAAAAAAAUCAACCCAAUAUUUGGAACCACCUUCAGGAACCAAACAGGCACCCAAGCCACAUUGAAAGGCAUCCUUGAGACAUUCAGGUGCUUCGUGCAGAAGAAAUUCAAGGAGGAUGGGAAGAAGAGCAGUUGGCUUAACUGCCUUGUGCAAGAACGGCUGGACGUGUAAGAGGGGCACGCACCUGUCGGAGGAUGCAGGAUAUCAUUGAGGAGAGUGUUGACAAGGAAGUCAACAGUGGGAUGUUUGAACGGGCAGCAAAGACAAUGAAGGAUGAGUUUCAGAAGCUGAAGGAGGGGAUUACAAGGACGCUGCAGAUGGACUUUUCCAACAUGUUGAAACUCACCUUUUUUCAUAAGGAAGAGCUUGUCAAAAGACUUCCAGACUUGCAGAAUGAAUACAAGGAAAUCAUGUACAUUCACAGUGCCAUUCAAGUACCUGGAAAUGCUUAAAAAAUCACUGAAGAAGUCUUUUCUUUUUUUUAAUUAAACAGUUGAAGGCUCUGUUCUUUUAUUUAACUAGGAUGGUGAUGAAUUUCUAUUAAUUGCUAAAUACCUUGUAAGUGGAAAAUUCCAAACACAUGUUAUAGUACCUGUAUCUGCUGCUCUGCUUAAUCAAUACUGCAGUCUCUCCUAUCACAGCUCUUCUCUAAAGUCAGGAAAGGUAAAUAUACCAAUGCACUAAAUGGAUUUAUAAUAACUGUUAGUAGUCUGGGAAGUAAUAAUAGUAAUUUUGUGCUUCUUUUUAUUCAGAAAAGAUUUUUUUCCUGGUUCAUAUAUCAAUAAAAAAGAAGUUUGUUGUGGAGUCUA